UCUGGUGUCUCAGAUGGUAAAGAAUCUGCCUGCAAUGCAGGAGACCUGGGUUUAAUCCCUGGGUCCAGAA
Molecule: transfer RNA, 70 nt
Filed under: Capra hircus (goat)
Lineage: Eukaryota; Metazoa; Chordata; Mammalia; Artiodactyla; Bovidae
Also listed under: 1 other name
Rfam family: tRNA
About the family: Transfer RNA (tRNA) molecules are approximately 80 nucleotides in length. Their secondary structure includes four short double-helical elements and three loops (D, anti-codon, and T loops).
Source: Rfam by way of RNAcentral